Molecule: long non-coding RNA, 4887 nt
Filed under: Cavia porcellus (domestic guinea pig)
Lineage: Eukaryota; Metazoa; Chordata; Mammalia; Rodentia; Caviidae
Description: lncRNA (ENSCPOG00000032130.1)
Source: RNAcentral
AUGGAGGGGGAGGGGAGGGAAGCGCAGGGCAGGGGGUAUUUUUUAACCAGGGGCAGCGGCUCGGGUUGCAGGGCGGGCGGCCGCACCCCACGCUGCGCUCGCGCGGCAUUCCGGGGCGAUCGGCGCCGCAGCCCCGCGCCCACGCGCUGCGCCCCUUGCUUCGAGAGGCCGACAGACUGCCCUCGCCCUUCCCAGCCCGGUCCUGCCCGCCCGGUUGAGAAUACCUUGGCUGCAGCAGCUGCUCGGCGUGGGCGGACCCCGGCCGGGACUCUCUCCCGGCUGCCCCUCCCCGGUCCGGCCCCGCAGCGCCCCGGCUCCUAGCCCGCUCCCCGCCCCCACCCACCCCGCGCCCCGGGGCGCAGGCCCGGAGCUCAGCCACCGCCUCAGUGGCUCGAUGCGUCCGGGCGGGGUUUGGGAAGCCGGCCCUCCAGGCCGGAGCUCGCGGUGUGACCUUAGGUAAGUCCCUGCCCUGCUCAGCCCCGUUCUCUCCGGUUUCGCUUUCCGUGGGGUGGACAGUGGCAAGGGCGAGAGCCUCUCUUUCUCCAGGGUCCUGGGGUUUCAUGCACCAGGAAACUCCCUCGUGCUGCGUGACCCCAGGACAGUGACCCCGGGAUAGGGCUACAGGGGCUUUGAGCAGGGCUGCAGGCCCACCUCGGACUCUUGAUUCCACCUGGCCCUGGCACACCGCAAGAGGUUGGAGGAUCAAAAUGUGGGAAGGCCCUGGAGUGACCCCCCCCCCCCCAGCCUAGGGUUCUUCACUGGUAUUGGAGUCCCAGCCUAGCAACUGCUUGGAGCCCCUAUGUGGUGUAUAGACAAGCAGCCUGCUCCGGAAAUUGUGCAUAGUCUUCCUGCAAUUCAGGACCUGUGAUCCCCCAAAAGGUAACAACCACUGAUGUAAUGGGACCCCACUCUCACCCCAAGGUUGCAGAUAGGGCAAACUGAGGCGUCUAAAGUGUGUUUGCUGAACUCUCUCACCUGGUGAGUCAGGGCUGGAAACAGCUUCAGGGCUCUUUGACCUCCACCAGUAAGCAUUUAUGUGUCAGAUCUUUUUGUUUGUUUGUUGAGACAGAGGUUUACUAUGUUCCUGGCUUUCAUGAAACUCACAGCAAUCCUCCUGCCUCAGCCUCCUAGUGUUGGGGUGCUGGGAGUAUAGGCAUGUGCCCCACUUUUAUGGGUCAGAGCCUAACUAAACCUUUCUGAGGGAAUUCUUUCCAUGGCAGAGACCCAGGGCUAAGGCAAAUCAGUCCUUGCUGGGAGAAGGGAUUCUCCCUGGGCAGUUUGGGAAUCAAGGAAGUCCUGAUUUCCAUAGACAUCAUUAGGUGCUGGGAAGGGUUUUCCUAGGAGAAAGAACAGCAAAGUCAAGGUCUAGACACAAUGGUGGCAAACUUAUGGCACGCAUGCCCCAGCAGGCUAUGUCUUCCCACUGCAAGCUCUAAAAGGUUUGCCGUCACUGGCAGAGACUGGGGGACAUGCACCUGCAAGUUUCUCAUGGCUGCACUGCGGGGAGCAGAGGUCUGAGAGAGGAAAGAUGUCCUAGAAACACGGCAGAUAGCACUCCUCCCCACAGCCUGCGCCUUUACAGUCCCCACAGUGCCUUUCACAAACCUGUCAUCCUACUGACUACAUUUAACUGUCCCUCAUGGGCACUGCCUGUCUUCUACAUGUCCGGGGCAUUGGCCUCACCUGGGCAUAGGAUGGUGAAUACCUCAGCCCUGGCCCCCCUCUGAUGGGCAGACCUUGAACCAGGUGUUACUCAGAAAAUCUGCUGGGAGGAAGAGGUGUUGGUGUAAAGGAAAGGCCCCGCUGGCUCUGGUCCAGGUGUCAGGGUCAGUAUUCAUCAGAGCCAGGGAGUCGUGGCAGGGGUGGGGCGAUGCCAGGCGGGGGAAUCGCCUUCGAGGAGGCGCAGCACCCUGGGGGGACUGAUCAUGUUUGUCUGCUGCUGCUUUUUCUCUGCUGGUGAUGGAAGCCAGAGCCCUGUGCAUACUAGGCAAGCACUGUAAUCACUGAGCCACGUCCCCUGGCCUUAUUUAUUUAUUUAUUUAGCAGUAGUGAGGGCUGCGCCCAGGGUGUACACACUGAGCAGGCUCUAGUGACUCAGAAAUUGGCGGGGACAGUGGCAGAGCCCAGUGGGAGGCAGGUUGGGUUUCAUUCUAUUUGAUCAGAUUUGUCCCAGGAAAGGAGGAAGUGCAUAGGAGUGAGUUGGGGCAAGAAGGGAGGGAGGACAUUCAAAUAGAAAACACUGCAGAUGUCCAGGGACAGCUGUUGGCACCAGCUAGGGAGGUGACUGGGUUUUUGUUUCUUUGGGGAGAGGGGGGCAUGCGGCAGACCUGGUAGACUAUGAUCUUAUUCCCCUUGCAAGCAGCUGAUGUGCAGGAGGCGCUGCUGCUAGUGUGAGGAGUUGUAUUUCUCACAGCUCAUGCUACCCACAAACUUGGGCACCCUGAAGUGAGCCCCAGCAUCAUUUCUUUAAAGUUCAAAGAUGAAAAGAAAUGAGUUAUCAAAUAUGGAAAGACAGAGCAACCCCACAACCUUAUGUGCAUCUUCUGAAUUGUGCUGGUCAGCUUUUCAUUGCUGUGACCAAAUAACUGAGAACAACACUUAAAAGAAGGAAAGGUUUAGUUUGGCUCAUGGUGUCAGAGGCUUCAGUCCAUGGUUAGCUAACUCCAAGGCAGAAACCUCACUGUGGAAGACCACGAUGGAGGAGAGCUGCCCACUGCAGAGCAGCUGGGAAGCACAGAGAGGAGGAAAGAGCCAGAGAGGAAGCAGCUGGGGACGAGAGACAGUGAUCAAGGUGGCGCAUACCCUGUGACCCGCUGUCUUCACCGAAGCCUACUUCCUGUUCCCUCACCUCCCAAUAGUACCAUCAAAUUAUUGUCUCUAUAGAUAAAGUUAGAGACCUCACAAUCUAAUAACUCCCCAAAAGCCCAUCAGCUGGCCUUUGGGGAACGUUUGAGAUCCAAAUUAUAAAAAUUAAAAGAAGCCUUUUGCAAAAGCAGCACACUGAAUGAUCCUAACUCUUGGACAUCCUACUCUGGAAGAGGCAAGACUUGGGACCAAAAGGGAAAGAAAAAGAUGAAUGCAUGGGACACAGAGCAUUUUGUAGGGCUGUGAAACUGCUCUGUGACAUUCUAAUGGGAUGCCUGACUUACACUUUUCCAAACCCCAAGACAGGACAGCACUAAGAAUGAAAAUAUAGCUGGGUGUGGUGGCUCCACGCCCGUAAUCUCAGGAAGAGGCUGAGUUAGGAGGAUUGCAGAGGGUGAGGACAGCCUGGGUUACAAAAUGAGUUCAAGGACAGCCUGAACUGCAUAAUGAAUCCCUGUCUCAAAAAGAAAAAAUUAAUGUUAAUUAUAGACUUCAGUUAAUAUUGUAUCGGAAUUGUUUCAGUUGUAAUGAAUAUGCUACACUAAAGCAAAAUGUUCAUCACUGGAAAAACUGUCAGAGAGAAGAGACAGAAAGCAAAUCUGUUCUUUCUCAGCAGUUUUUCUGCAAACUAAAAUGGUUCUAGCCAGGUGUGGUGACACAUGACUAUAAUCCUAGCACUUGGGAGGCUGAGGCAGGAGAAUUCCACAAAUGCAAGGCCAGCCUAGGCUACUUAGUGAGUUCAAGGUUAGCCUAAAUUAUAAAUUACAUAAUUAAACUCUAUCUCAAAAAACAAAAUGGUUCUAGACUUUGUUGACUGGUUGGGGGAGGGCACGUUCUUCCUGUGUAUCUAAGGCUGAACUUGAAAAGAUCCUACUUCUAGUUUCCCAGCACACCAAGCUACAGUCUUAGAAAGACAGAAGGCAAGAGCAUUUAAACUUACACUUAGGAGAGAAAAAACAAACUUAGAUUUGCUUUCCCUCCUAAGCAUUCACAAUCCAGAUGGCUUCUGAACUCACAUGUGUGAGGUCCCCCACAUGCCAGCUCUGCAGAGGACACUAGCUGAGUUAAAUUUUUGAGAAGCUCUCAGAACUCAGGGAAACACUUCACCAGUGUACUGUAAAGGAAGUUAUGAAGGUGCAGACGAAGACACCCAGAAGGCGGGCCUCCUCUGCACCCACCCCUCUUCAGGAGCCGCCGUGCAGUCACUGCCUGGAAGCUCCCAAACCCAUCUUUUUGAGUGCUCAUGGGCACUAUGUCGGUGCUCCUGAAGCACAGACAGAUGUAUAAACUGACUGCACUGACACCAGGGCCUAAGAUUUUAAAAGAAAAAAAAAAAACUGACUGCACAAAACAGUCUGGAGCCAUGAAUGCAGCUCGGUGGCAUAAGUGCCUGCCUGGCAAGUGCAAGGUCCUGAGUUCAAUUCCUAGUAAAACAAACAAACAAAACCCCUCAGGCUGCUCUAUCGCUGUGGGAAGAGCCAGCCCUUGUGUGCUCAGGGGCUUGGGCUCUGCCAUCUUCCUCCUCUUGCAGGGGGCGGGGCCCUUCUGAAGUGGGGUGUCAGGGUCUGCAACAAGGCAGGCCGGGAAAUGUCUUUCUGGCCAGCACCCAGGCAGGAAGGCAAGGGAAGAUUAGAGUAUAGUGAAAAGGAAAAACUGUACAAGAGAAAUUGUUCCUUUUAAAACUUGAUUCUUGGGCUGAGGAUUUAGCUCAGCGGUGUAAGUAUGGCAAGCAUGAGGUCGUGAAUUGGAUCCCCAGUACCAAAAAUAAAUAAGUAAAUAAAUAAAAUGUGGUUCUUUUGAAACUGUAACCGCUCUCUAAUUGCUUUCUUGACCCUGUAACCAUGAGAACAUAACCAAACGUGGGGUGCCUGAUUGUACCAUUGUACCAAGCUUCAAGACUGAUGAUCAUUAGUCUAUCCUUGUAACUGAUGAUCUCUCCUUGCUAAUCAGAGGAACAGCCAGGCUGUUCGUUUCCCUUUUGUACCUCUUGCUGGUGCAUCAUACAAAAACCCUAGACCACCA